GGCGCGGUCUCUGGUUGGUUAGCGACGCCGUCGAUCCGCACCCAGCCACUGAAGGAGGUGUUGGGGGCCGGCCCGACCGGUAACGCCCGGUUACGCCCGCUGGUGUGCGGCGGGCUGAGAGAAGCACGGCUCCGCCCGCCUGCAGCCGGGGCUGCCCUGGGGCUGUGUCUGUGGCCUUUGGUCGUCCCGGGCUGUCCGGUGGUUGCCGGGGGGCGUUUUGUUUGCGCGCGGCCGUGGUUUUAUCCUCGAGUGUUUUGGCGGUGCAGUCAGCGGGCGUUACCGGCUGUAAUAGAGCACGUGGAGAUGGGAUUUGAAGGGAGAGUGAUCCCAGCAGGACAUGAGAAGCAGAUGCGGGCCGCUCUCCCAUGGCCAGGGCAGCAGUGCGGUGCUGGCUACGGGGUUAAAAUAAAAUGUUUUUUAAAAUGCAGUGGAAAAGUCAGUGUCAGAUCUGGAAAUGCUUCACGUUGUGCACAGCCCCUGCACCUGACACAACAUACUUAGGAGGAAGGUGCUCUGCUGCGUUCAUGCUAAAAACCCAUCCUUCUUGUGUGUUUGCUUUUUAACGCAGUACAUUUCUGAAAGAAGGCCAGCGUCAUCUCCGGUUCUUUCAUAUUGAUUCGCACAGCUGUCCUUCCAGCUGUCCUUCCCUGCUGCCCAUAGAAAGAUGCCUGGCUGUCCUUUCCUUUUACUCCUUCCCGUCUUCAGUCCUCUGUCCCCCUUGCUCAUGGCUGCAGCAUAGCUCUGAAGCAUUUUAGAGUACUAAGCUGAUGCAGCUCACCCAAAGGACAGUAAGCUCAAGCUUUUUUUGCUGGAAGAGCAGUCUGUUUUGUUGCUGAUUGGAUGGUCUCACGGAGCGGUCCAGUGUUGGAGUCAGCAUCUUGUAAUACCAUCACCUAGGUCUCCUCCCUUCUUUCCAGCAUGGACAGAGAAUCCGGUGCCUGCAUUUAAACUCUGUUGUUAAACUUGUUCUUACUUAACUUGCCAAAUACCAUACAUGCAGGCCGCAGCAAAGCUAGCAAGGCGCUCACAGUAGGGCUUUCUGUCAUGCCCUGACAGCUAGCAUAGAACUGGAAAUGGCAGUAAACAGCUCUGAGCAGUUGUUGCAUGCUUCUGGGUUUUGAUCAGUUGAAAAAGAAAACAUUGCACUAGCUUACAAAAUCAUAGCAUGGCUUUCUGUGACAGGAUCCUUCAGCUAUGGCAUGAGCAAAGAGCUGUGUGGGCUGUUGAGGCAGUCCUUUAUGUCACAGCACAUCACCUGUGUCCUCCUUGUUCCCAUCAGCGACCUUAACGUUCUCACAUCUGAGUUUCGUUCCUGUGCAAUCUGAGUGGAACAGCUUGCAGUGUGGGUCAACUGCGGCUCCUAGGCUAGCUAUGGUCAUAAUGGAAGAUAGCACAGUAUGUCAGGUAUGGUACUGGAAUUACAAAUCUAGUAAUUAUCCCACAUAGCUGGUCUCCUACGAUUGGCAGCCCACAUUUGUCACCCUGGAGAAAACAAACUGCAUUUUGAGAAACAGCAGAACUGCAGGAAAAUGCAGAUAGCCUUAGAUUGUUUGUUUUUGAAGGGGACAUCAAAGCAUUGGAAUCUGAAGAUAUCUGUGGUCCAAGGGAACACUGCUUUGCCUUUUGAACAUGUCAACUCCAGCUCUCCUACCUGCGGUGCAGAUAAGCAAGUUUGUCCAGCUUUCUCUGUAAAGGAGAAGCUGAGGGGGGGCAGGAUUUCUGGAAGAGUUCUUAUAAAGCAGUGUCUUGAUUGAGAAAAUAGAGCUCUUUUUGUAAGCAUGUGUCUCAUGCAGAGUCUUGCUGAAGUCAGAUGGACUUCAAGCAAAAGUUUGCAUAAACAGAUGUCUUUGCUCAUGGUCUUGUCUGCACUGCAUGUAGAUGAAAGGAUUUCACAGUGUGAAAAGGAAAGCUGGGGUUUGCCUUCACGAUCAUGGAAAAGAAUCCGUUUCCUUUUCUUAUGAUAAUCUAAAAAAUGCAUGUAGGAAAUAGUUUUAUAGUACGACUUAUUUUCUAGUUCACGAGCAGCACUGAAGCUCAGGGAGAAGCAUGUUUGUAGUGUCUAGAAACAAAAGGAGUUUUCACUAAUGAUCUCGGGGAUCUGAAGCUGGCUUCAAGCUGUUCAAGUCAUGAGAGAAUGACUCAGAAGUCAGAAAUUUGAGGCAUUCUUAUGUCUAGCAUUUAAUCAACAGGCAAAGCAUUGGCAAGUAAGGAGAAGAAAUCAAUGGCAAAUCAGAGAAUAAUAGGUCAGCUAUUCAUUAGAGAAAGGGUUGAUUACCAGGAUAUUAACAGAAAAGAGGGCAUGAAAUUAAUCUUAAAAUUUGAGCUAGCAGUGGCUGCAAUGAGCUGAUGGUCAGAGAGCUUUUAAAAAAUUACAUGACUUUCUUGUGUGAAAGGCUAUUCUCAGUACUCUGCAUUCCCCAUUUACAUCAGUCAGAUCCCUGCUGUACAUAUUAUUCAGACUUUCCAAACACAAUGCAACUCUUGCGGGGUAAUAAUUGUUUGUUUGUAAUAUUUGUCAUUGUAUAUACAGCCAUCUUGGGUAUUACACACGAGGUGAUAAUAAUCUGCUCUCUGUUAGCAUUCACUCUGAAGCAAAAUCUUAUUUUGUUGUGUUUUCAGUGCAUGUUGGAGCUUGAUUUUGCUGGCGUUCCCUAUUCCUAGAAAAUUAUCAAUGGCUUCAUUGUGACUAUUCAUCAUACCAGGGCUUUCAUGAUUAACGUUGCAAAAUCAGGAUUAAUUUUGAGCUCUGGGACAGAGAAUGUGCUUUUCCAACUUUAAAAUCUCUCAUUUAUCUAUAAUAGCAGCAAACAAUAAACAACACCAAUAAAAUUGUAUGCAGGGUAGCUUGUACGCUAAUAACAGUAUUUGUUAUAUUAUUAAUUGUAAUCCGUUGUUAUUAUACCAAAAGUUGUGUAUAAUCUGUAGUUAUAAUUGGUGAGUUUUGAGACAUCAGUUUACAUUAAAUAAAAAAUAAUGCUCUGCGCAGUGAGCACCAACCACAUGAUGCUGCAGGCAAGGCCAAGGGACAGCACUGGAGCAAAAAACUGGUUGCAGGCAGUUCAGAUAUGGCUCCUGUGCCAAGGAUAUGCUGUGUGAUUGCAAGGAAAUACGAAACAUUGAGUUAUACCCUAUUCUGUCUGGUGUCUUACAAGCAAUGUGCGCCAUAUCUUUAAUCCCAAGGGGUCUUGGUGUCCUUCCUCAUAGAGCAUUUCUUUUGUUUGCCGUUGAAACAGAGACACUUUCAUGUCUUUGAGAACAGCUGCUUAAUGGUGCUCCACAGUGCUGCAAAGCUUUGGAAACCAUAUAAGCAAUCUGGGUAGGAGGAUGGGCUCAUAAGUCAAAUUUGGCCUAGCUUGUAGCCUUGACAGAGUCUCUGUGGGACUGCAUUUACUAAAAUAAUCAUAAGCUUCAUAUUAGUUCUAAAACAGAAUGGAGAAGUUGAGUCUUUCAGUACCCCUAAGUCAUUAAUAUCAUCGUAGGCUCAUGAUUUUAUGUGAACUUUGACCACGUUCCCAGAGCCCUUUCUCACUGCGUUUUGUGCUUCAAGAUUUCCUAACCCCAGCUCUGUGCACGCCCAAACCUGUAUUCAUUAUGCAGUCUUCUGAGAUCACAGCUGGUGGUGACAUGGCUGCUGGCCACGGAGAGUUUAAAUCGCCUACUCUCUGAUGGGACCCGUUCAAUAGAUAUUUGUCUGUACAGGUGCUCUGGCAAGAUGUUAUCUGUAGUUAAAUACAUACAAAGUGCAUAAGCUGUUGAUAUGAGUUCGCUUGAGGGGUCACAGUAGUGCCACUUCAAUGACUAUUACAUAAAAUGUAAUAGUCUCUAACAGUUCUUCCCCAGUGGUGGUAGUUAAUUUUUGCUACAGUAAUGACAGAGAAAGAGUUGACUUAUCUAACCAUGCACUACGGUUUGAACUUUGAAGUUUUGGUUAUGUUAACUCUGAAACCCUGUCAGUGCUGUUAAUUCUCUGCCUGGGGUUUCUUAGUGCACACUGUGUUUGUGCGACAGUCACAGCAUGAGUAACCUGCAUGGCAAACAUAUACUUCACAUUGUCCAUUCACUGCUUAAGGAAAAAAUCUUUCCUGCUGUCUGUUCCAUGCAAGUUUCCUCUCUUGCUCCCUAGGGGCAACAAUCCUGCCGAAGCACUACUUCCCAAUGGAGUCAUGGCCUUUGCUGUAUCUGAUGAUGAGCUUUCACACAGAUGGUGCAUUUACACAGGCUUUGCUCUUCAUUCUGUAUUCUUCUAUCUGCAUACUUAUUUUUGCUGGUUUUGGAAUUACUUUCUCUAGUAUUCUUUUCCUAUUUUUUUUCCUCUUUUUUCUCUUUAGCUUAAGUAUUUCUAAUGGAAAGGUAAAAAGUAACACCACUGUCUAAUAGGAACAACUAGGUUUGGGUUACAAAAACUAAAUGAUUUUUGAAAUACUUUGGAAAUAUAUUCCCUAGUUACGCUUUUUUUAAAAAAAUACUAAUUACAGGUUUUAUUUUUCAUCUGAGUUGCUUUUUUACGUUUUUGUAUUUUUCAUUUGCAUUUCUGUGUUCUUUCCUACAUCAAAUGAUAGAGCUGCCUGAAGUUACAGAGUGUUAGAGUAAUGUUAAAGAGGCAGCAGAACCAGGAGAUUCUUCUACAAAAUCACCGGGGCUUUUCAUGCCAAAUGCAUUGUCCUUUCCUGGUCUUUUUUUUUUUUUGAAAAUGUGUUUACGUGUUCCCUUGGAUUCACCCCUCAGCAAACUGGGAUGUGAAAGAAGUGCAGUCUUGGCUGAUGCAAUCUUGCCUGCGGAGUGCCUUGUGCCUUCAUGCAAAGGAGAGUUGGUGUUUCUGGUGGGGGAAUGAGGGGGGAGCCCGCAGUACAUCAGGAGGUAAACGUGCCUGGGAGCAGCUCCACAAGCUCCAAAAUCCUACGUGCAGGAAACAAUUGUCUGAACAGAGGCCACCACUUGCAAAUGCCCUGGCCUUUCUCUACCUCAUGCCACCAGGCAGCAUUUCAGAUUCCCCCAGCUUGGGAAAUCUUGAGCCUGGGUGAGAAAACUCUGGGAAAAGCACAGAGAAAGCCAAAAAUUAGAAUACACUGCUGUAAGCUUAAGGGAAGAGAAUAAAUAGCCUUACAUGCUGUGUCAUCCUGCUUCUUACAUAAAAAAUCAUCUAUGAAAGGGGAAAAAAAAUGCUACAUUUAGGUUGAAUAUUUCCAUGAAGUAGUGGCGCAAAGAUAAUUUGAAUUGCCCACAGGAUGAAUUUAGCCUGACGUGUAAAAUCUAUUUCUGCCAUUACCGCUGCUAACCUAAGCCUAUUCAGAGAUAAUUAUAGUCAAGUGCUUACCCUGUUCUUGCUCAUCUGUUUUUCCCUCCUGCCCAUUUAGUAAAUGCAUGAGUUAUGCAUUAGCACUGGUAUGCUGUGUCAAAGCAGUAAGAGCUUUGAAAUUAGACAGCAAGAGUGGAAUAUAAUAAGGCAGGAAAUAACCAGUGAAAUUUGUAAACAAAGGGUUGUAAAAAUAACAAUUAGGAGUCAGCUAUGUUCUAGAAAAUGAAGAUUUUGGAGUGUAAUAAUUUGAAUUUACAACAGUGUCAGUGCAAAUGUAGGUCAAAUUUCGUAACUUUGACUAAAACAUGUUUCUAAUUUUUUCAUUACUCGAGGCAAAACAGUUCCAAACAUGAAGAAAAGGCAUUGCUUCUACCUGACUUAAAACCCUAUUGGAUUUCACAAGAAACUGUCUUCUGCUGUACAGAUACAUUCCUUAAAUAUUCUUGUUCUCUCCAGCAUGCUCAGGAUAAAAUUACCAAGGUGUAUGUGUCCCACUGCCUUCCUCAUCACAUUACCUAUGCGGUGAACGAGGGAUUCGGGUGAAAUCCCAGCUCCUGUGCAAAGCCAGGAAGGACCACAGGGAAGAUUGGUGACAGAGGAGGUGACAUUAGGAAAAAAUACCCUAGGUUUGGGGCUUAUUCCACCCAGAGAUCAUAUUUUGAAGUAAAUGAACGAAAGAGGCAGCUAUCCGUCCCCUCAUCACAUUUCAUCAUGUUAUAAAAACAACUGAGGUAUCUUAUGAAAGGUCUUGAGCACUGAAAACUCCUUGUAAAUAAAGAAUGUGGCUGUGAAACACAAUCCUUGGUGGGGUUCAUUUCUGUCCUUUAGAAAAGACAGCACUUCAAGACAAGGUAGAAGCUGGAGAUGAAGGGAGGGGAGUGAAGAAAAGCCCAAGGUAAUAAAAAAUAUGCACAUAGGAGUUCCUAAUCUGCAAUGAUUGCAAACAUGCCUCGCUCUCUUCAGCUUUGAAUAAAUCAUACUAUCUAUACCGAGGUUAUCUCCUUUUGUCAUCAUACAUCAAGUAAAGAUGAGAAACAGAAGUCAGCCUGGUUCACUUAUAGUUGAUUCCAAAAUGUAUUUAGAAACUUGAAAAGGCGUUGUCUAAUUCUAUGUGUGUAUCGGUUACGUCUCAUAAAAACUGUUACUAGUAUUUAUUAAUUUCAAUCUUGUGGUUCAAAGUUGAGGGUUGAGUUUUUAGGGUUUUUUGUUUGUUUUUCUCCACAAAAAAUACAUCCACAGCCACUUGGAAAUGACCCCAUAAAGAACGGAGUCCUACUUUUUAAAAUUGUUAUUUCUGUUCCUUCCAGUGAAAUGGCAAAAGAAAAUGCUCAUCACAUAGCAAUGAAAGCAGUUUUUUUUAGUUAUCCCUUGCCAUCUCCAGGGAUAAAGCUGGGCUCUAGUGGGGGUAGAUUGCUCCUAGGGGUGUCAUUCUCAGGUAAUGCAUCGGUCUCCGGACGGUGUCUCGGACACAGCGCUGGGUCAAAGCAGACAUGAGCAGGUAAGCAAACUGCUGGAAGAAGUUGGUUGAGCAAUUACCAAAGCAUGUUCAGACAGGUGUCUUAGUCUGUGGGCUCCCCUUUUUCAAGACAUUGAGAAAUGCCAUUGUAAGGUACUUCCCAUAUUAUAAUGCCCGCCCCAUGGUUUGUUGUUGAUGUUGUAGAGAAUUACAAGAAAAGUAGAAAUAUGCGAGAGGACUAAUCUUGUAGGAAAAUUAUCCAGUUUUCUUACUAUGAGCCAGCUGAAUUCAAGCGCCUUGCUUGAAGGUGACCUACCCAGCAGGAUACAGGAAGCAGUGCCAGGGACUCUAGAGAUGGAGAUAUUGGUGGAGGCAGGCAACCUUUCAGCAGAAACCACUGUUAAUUAGGUUUAGUAACAUAUCAAGUGAUGCCUAACCCACAGAAAUAAAAGGCUGAAAUCUCUGGGUGAUGGCAUGUUUACUAGAUCUGGUGUGAAGCAGGAGACAGGAGUAGAUAACCAGGGUAACUGCAAAUAGAGAUCUUUCUGUCCAAGCUCCUAAUACAGCCAACAGAUGCUGCUUAGGAGGGAAAAUACCAAACCUUAUGUGCCACAUCUUUUCUCUUCUAGAACGGUUUUGGGGCUCCAUCUCCACCUUUCUUUCUCCAGCUUGCAUUCUCUUUCCCUUCCCCUGGAUGGGACACAGCAGCCAGUUUUACUAGGAAACUGAAAAUACCACCUCUAACUGGCCUUUCUCCCUUCUGUGACCUUUCAGGUUGCCUCACCUAAAAUUAGGCAUCAUAAAUAGUUCUCAAUAACCCAGGUAUGCAUUACUGUGUAGGCACCUGACCUCAAUGAUUUAAAAUAAUUUAGACAUGUAAAUAAGACUUCACUGUCUGUGGAUCUGGACCUUAGCUAUUUGAUCUGCAUUACUAGCAAUGAAACUUUGGGGUUACUUGGCUAAUUGUAGGUCAGAUGAGAGAGAAGCUUGGAUUUGAAACCCUGGACAUGAUGCCUUCAAGUUCCUAACUGGAAUCUAGGGGCCAGGAAGAAGCUUGCCCAAAUGCAAGAAGAUAUGGUAAGACUCGAGUACAUUUGGCUAAGACUUGGGGCUGAAGAUAACACUUGUCAUCUGAAUACGUUUGGUUUACGGAGUUCCCUCAGCACAGGACACAAGUCUUCAUGAGGACAGGCAAAUCCCUUAGUAAAAUUGUCAGUAUCUGUGUGUUGAUGCUAAUUUACCAAAGGUAAAUAUUGCACAGUCACUGUAGGUGCUCAAGCAAAUUGUAAUCCUUUCUUUGUUGGGACAUAAGCUAAAUGACGUCAUCCAUCCUGUAUUAACUUACCCUCAGUUUACGUGAGGAUAAACUGAUGAAUGAAGUCAAAUGCGGUGAGAUACUGAACAAAAACACGAUGUCAAGAUUUAUUUGCAUUUACUCUGUAGCCCAGGAACAAGAGCUGUGAUGGCUGCAGUGAUGAGCCUGAGGAAUGCUGCUGGCAUUGAGAGCUCUCCGCUGUGUCACACAUUCCUGUGUUUUGCAGUCACAUUAGGAUCUGAAGGAAUUAGCCCCAGGAAAGCUCGGAGUUUAUUUCAGAUGAGGGAUGACAUUUCUACUUCUCAGGAGCUCUGUGGCUGUCCAUAAUAGUAAAGCGAUCUGGAAAGAGUUUGCUGACUACUUACAACUUAGGAGAAGCUAAGCCAGAGAACAGAAAGUAGGCUUGCAGACCAGGCACAUCUCCAUUGUUUCUCGAUCAAUCUGGAAUGUUGUUGUGAGCUGUCUCGUGCUGAGAUCUUCAAUAAACCCAAGGUGUUGGAGCUCUGAAGCUGGAUUUUCAACAUCACCAAACUACGGCCUGGAUUCUUCCUGGGUCCCUGGAUAACCUGAGACACAGCUCUAUUGCUCCUCGGUUCAGUGGUUGCACAUCUUUGAAAGGCUGCCUUCCCCAGGAAGGAAGCAUUCCUGAGCUGCAAGAGACCAAGCCUGGCCAUGUGCAGCAGUACACAGAUGUUCUACAUGUCUGGAAGCAGUUCAGCAAUGUUUGCACUGCACUAGAUUUAACAGUUUCAGAUGUCUCCGCAUCAUGUUUGAAUUUGUUCCCAUGGGAAGGCAGACAACCCUGAGGAAAAGGCCAGGCAGGAUGGAAGGAGAGCCUGUCCCCCAGGACCUUCCUCCCCCAAGCACCUGCAGUUCCCAAGAAAACAGCCUGAAGGACUAAUCCUGUUCAAGCACAGGCAGAGAGCUGUCUUCAGUUGCCAGUCCUGCUCUCCAUCUCCUUCUGAUGUCUCUAUACCACCAGCUAAGCCACAAUCAGCAAAAGCAUGGUGUCUGUCAAAUAAUCAACAUACGUUUGCAUGAAGUAAAUGGAUUGUCUGAGGAUAUCUGUGUGAAUGUUACUAAAUCUGCUCCAAAACUGAAAAAGAGGGAAACAUAGUGAAGAACAUGUUUUCUCCAUAAAACAGCUUUCUGAUGAGCACUGUUCCCCAGUGACUGUGAUAGCACACAAGAACUUUCAGCUGGAGAUCCUUCAGGUCACCAUGGGCUUUUUUUCUGUUGAUGGCUGCAAGAACAGUUCCUACUAUUUGGAACUGACCAACUUGUGCAUCCCACCUCAGGGCUGAGCUGCUGGCUGCAGCAGAGGAUGGGUUUGUGCUGCAGGGAGCAGUGCUCAGAGGAAGCCCACUUGCUGCAAGGUUUCCAAGUUGCUCAGCCACUUGAGCGUGCUGCUUCAUUCCCAACACUUCUCUGUAUGGAGAGACUGGGCUGGGCAUUGCAGAGAUGUUCUCUUCAUGAGAAGGACUCUGCUGAGAAACUCUGCAGCUGGUGGAGGGGCUGAGUAAAGAUGGCAAUGCUGCUAGUUCUGGGAGACGUAUUCCUUCACUCUGUCAGUGAGCCUAAAUCCACCAUUGCUAUGAACAUUGCACAAGCACAUCCCUUCUCAGAAAAUAAAACUCUG
Long non-coding RNA from Numida meleagris (helmeted guineafowl), 9706 nucleotides. RefSeq lists it as uncharacterized. The record is from RefSeq and is a predicted model, not a curated record. Lineage: Eukaryota; Metazoa; Chordata; Aves; Galliformes; Numididae. The transcript has 5 exons.